GCAGGUGUUGCCUAGCGGUACGGCGCCGGCCUUGAGAGCCGGUUCUCAUUCGAGACCGUGGGUUCGAAUCCCUCCACCUGCGCCA
This 85-nucleotide transfer RNA is filed under the name Candidatus Bathyarchaeota archaeon. RNAcentral's name for it is "tRNA-Ser". It matches the Rfam family "tRNA". Rfam says of the family: Transfer RNA (tRNA) molecules are approximately 80 nucleotides in length. The record is from RNAcentral. Lineage: Archaea; Thermoproteati; Candidatus Bathyarchaeota.